UUUUAAUAGUUUAAGUAAAUCAAAAAUAAAAUUAUUUUUUUUAAAACU
Molecule: transfer RNA, 48 nt
Filed under: Drosophila melanoloma
Lineage: Eukaryota; Metazoa; Arthropoda; Insecta; Diptera; Drosophilidae
Description: tRNA-Thr
Source: RNAcentral